Long non-coding RNA from Humulus lupulus (European hop), 968 nucleotides. RefSeq lists it as uncharacterized. The transcript has 3 exons. The record is from RefSeq and is a predicted model, not a curated record. Lineage: Eukaryota; Viridiplantae; Streptophyta; Magnoliopsida; Rosales; Cannabaceae.
CACACAUUUGUGUAAUAGUUAUUACGAUGGCUGCUGUCAUAGUUAAGUGCUUUGAUAUUAUUUGCAUGUAAUUGAUGCAUGAUAAAUGCUUGGAAAUGAACGUACACCUACUUCAGGGUGGCAACUUGGGUUUAUAAAGUUAAAAGGGUUUGAGGGACUCUCUUUCUUAGAUUUAGUUAGAAAUUGGAACAACUUGUUGCAAAGUUGCUGCCGUUUCUGUUUCAUAACUUUCAUUUGUUUGUUUCAUUGUUUCUUAGGUCUUAUGUUUUCAUCCAAAUGAUGUUUACAUGUUCCUUUUACAUUGUAUUUCAUUCAAACGAAUAAUACAAAGUUUUGUUCUUUUUUUAUUUUUUUUUUAAAAAGGAACAUACUCCCCCGUUAAUUAAUAUAAGUAUUUGCCUCAUUGACAUUUAUUCAAGAAGAUAUGACUAUGGGGUUGCUUUUAUUAUUUAUAUAUUUUUUUAAAGUGUUUGUUUGUUGAUAGUUUUGAGUAUAUAUUUGUGUUUCAAGUUUUUGGCAUAGUAAGUGUUUUUUUAGUGUAUAAAUGAAAUUUUAAUGUAUUCUACUGCAAACAGAAGCGAUUUGAACUUCUAAAUUUAUAACCUCUUAAGUUUGGGCAAAAAUAUUGAAUGGACGUGGGCAAAGUUUUGGAUGUUUAUCAUGUAAAUUGCUAAACUUUGAACUGACUUGUCACCAAGCAAUAUUCUGUGUAGAGGCUUGAAAAGCGGAGGAGAGAUCUGGUUUGUUAAUCACAUAUACUCUGCGGGCACGUGUUUAUGCCAAGACAGAAGAGAAGAAGUUGGAAUUACUGUAUCUUCGGUGGAGUGAGCACCAUAAAAAACUUUGCAAUUUUAUAAGGACUAAGACAGAGCCUCCAAUUUAUUAUUUGCCGAAGAAGCCACUGGAUGCAGAUGAAAUUGAGGCUGAGCAGCGAAAAAAAUAGGUUUUUAUUCAUCUUGUAUUUCUCU